GCCUGGGUGGCUCAGUUGGUUAAGCAUCUGACUUUGGGGCAGAUCAUGAUCUCGAGGUUUGUGGGUUGGAGUCCCACGUCAGGCU
Molecule: transfer RNA, 85 nt
Filed under: Felis catus (domestic cat)
Lineage: Eukaryota; Metazoa; Chordata; Mammalia; Carnivora; Felidae
Also listed under: 6 other names
Rfam family: tRNA
About the family: Transfer RNA (tRNA) molecules are approximately 80 nucleotides in length. Their secondary structure includes four short double-helical elements and three loops (D, anti-codon, and T loops).
Source: Rfam by way of RNAcentral